Molecule: ribosomal RNA, 727 nt
Filed under: marine sediment metagenome
Description: SSU rRNA
Rfam family: Bacterial small subunit ribosomal RNA
Source: RNAcentral
AGUCGAACGGAAACGAUGGGAGCUUGCUCCCAGGCGUCGAGUGGCGGACGGGUGAGUAAUACUUAGGAAUCUACCCAGUAGCGGGGGACAACUCGGGGAAACUCGAGCUAAUACCGCAUACGCCCUACGGGGGGAAGCAGGGGAUCUUCGGACCUUGCACUAUUGGAUGAGCCUAAGUCGGAUUAGCUUGUUGGUGAGGUAAAGGCUCACCAAGGCGACUAUCCGUAGCUGGUCUGAGAGGACGAUCAGCCACACUGGGACUGAGACACGGCCCAGACUCCUACGGGAGGCAGCAGUGGGGAAUAUUGGACAAUGGGGGCAACCCUGAUCCAGCAAUGCCGCGUGUGUGAAGAAGGCCUGCGGGUUGUAAAGCACUUUCAGUAGAGAAGAAAAGCCUAUGGUUAAUACCCGUGGGUCUUGACGUAACCUACAGAAGAAGCACCGGCUAACUCCGUGCCAGCAGCCGCGGUAAUACGGAGGGUGCGAACGUUAAUCGGAAUUACUGGGCGUAAAGCGCGCGUAGGCGGCUUUGUAAGUCGGAUGUGAAAGCCCCGGGCUCAACCUGGGAAUUGCAUUCGAUACUGCAUGACUAGAGUAUGGUAGAGGGAAGUGGAAUUUCCGGUGUAGCGGUGAAAUGCGUAGAUAUCGGAAGGAACACCAGUGGCGAAGGCGACUUCCUGGGCCAAUACUGACGCUAAGGUGCGAAAGCGUGGGGAGCAAACAGGAU